Molecule: microRNA, 22 nt
Filed under: Lytechinus variegatus (green sea urchin)
Lineage: Eukaryota; Metazoa; Echinodermata; Echinoidea; Temnopleuroida; Toxopneustidae
Also listed under: 1 other name
Description: lva-miR-183-5p
Gene: lva-miR-183-5p
Source: miRBase by way of RNAcentral
UAUGGCACUGUAGAAUUCACUG